UUAGGGUUAGUCGGGACCUAAGUCGAGGCCGAUAGGCGUAGACGAUGGACAACAGGUUGAUAUUCCUGUACCACCUCCCCGCCGUUUGAGUAAUGGGGGGACGCAGAAGGAUAGGGUGAGCGUGCCGUUGGUUGUGCACGUCCAAGUUGUGAGAUGAGAAACGAGGCAAAUCCCGUUUCUACAUACAUCAAGCAGUGAUGGCAAGAGGUUUACCUCAGAGUCCCUGAUUUCACACUGCCAAGAAAAGCCUCUAGCGAGGCGGGAGGUGCCCGUACCGCAAACCGACACAGGUAGGCGAGAAGAG
Molecule: ribosomal RNA, 304 nt
Filed under: Rossellomorea aquimaris
Lineage: Bacteria; Bacillati; Bacillota; Bacilli; Caryophanales; Bacillaceae
Description: bacterial LSU rRNA
Rfam family: Bacterial large subunit ribosomal RNA
Source: RNAcentral